UAACAACCUCUCAGGGUGCUCUCGGUUCUUUCAUUUUGAAGUGAUUUUCGUUCUAACAGGAGACUAAUUUUAACAGCAACAAAAAUGCAAAAUUUAGAGAGAGAGUAGAAUCAACUUACCUACGGCAAGGCAAGGAGAUUUUUGCGGUUUUGAUGUUGAGUGUCGGUGUCGGUGUUUGGAUCAGCUAUUGAUUGAAGAUGAUGUGCAAACGAUGCGUAAACACGGGGCUGCCACUGGAGGCUCUUUGAUGAAGGUGAUGCCACAACACCUCUUUGGAUUCACGGGAACUUUGGAUAUUAAGGAGACUUGAAGAUGAUCUUCAAGUGGAAACCUUCCACCAAGGAAAAGCUUAGGAUGUGUUUGGCAAUUUGGUGAACUUGAUUGGCAAUUUUCAAUCAUUGAAAGAAUAAGAAUAUAUUCCUCAUCAUUGAAAGAAUAAGAAUAAGAAUAAGAAUAUAUUCCUUAUGUCAUUAUCCUUGUGACAAAUAAGCCAUGUGGGUAAAUUUUUAUGUCAUUUUAUGAUAUCUCUAAGUUGCAUAAUUUUAUGACAUAAAAAUCUCUCUUUGGCUUUCUUUGACUUUUGCUAAUCUCACCCCUCUUUUGUUUUCUUUUUCAUGUCACAUGAGAACUCUUGAAGAAAGAAUGAAGAAUCUUGAACUUGAAGAAUGAAGACUUUGAAGAUUGAAGAAUUCAAGAAUGUCUUUGAAGUUUUAUUUUUCUUUCCCUUGUAAUUCCAACUUUGUAUGAAUGAAACUUUGUAAUUCUUGAAUUUUAAAUAAAGUCCCUUCAUUUGUAAUUCAUUUGUUCCAUAAAA
Molecule: long non-coding RNA, 814 nt
Organism: Vicia villosa (hairy vetch)
Lineage: Eukaryota; Viridiplantae; Streptophyta; Magnoliopsida; Fabales; Fabaceae
Exons: 5
Source: RefSeq, a predicted model, not a curated record